This 324-nucleotide ribosomal RNA is filed under the name uncultured eukaryote. RNAcentral describes it as "partial 18S ribosomal RNA". It matches the Rfam family "Eukaryotic small subunit ribosomal RNA", at positions 1470 to 1796 of the family's 1831-position model. The record is from RNAcentral.
CCCUUAGAUGUUCUGGGCCGCACGCGCGCUACACUGACGCAUUCAACGAGUUUCUUCCUGGUCCGAGAGGAAUGGGUAACCUUUUGAAAGUGCAUCGUGAUAGGGAUAGACUAUUGCAAUUAUUGGUCUUCAACGAGGAAUUCCUAGUAGACGUAGUUCAUCAGACUGCAUCGAUUACGUCCCUGCCCUUUGUACACACCGCCCGUCGCUCCUACCGAUUGAAUGCUCAGGUGAGCCAUUCGGACUUUCAUCAUGCUGGUUUCCAGUUUUGAUGAAGGAAAGUCUUGCGAACCUUAUCAUUUAGAGGAAGGAGAAGUCGUAACA